GGGGUGUUACAUUAGAUGCUCCAAUUGGCUAGACUCUAGGGUCCUGGAUAAGGGUGUUACAAAUAUUGUGGCGAUGAUGGUCAAAUAAGAAGCCCAGUAAAACAACCAAAAGAACUCAUUCUCAUUGCUUUGCAUUGGCAACGUGAAGUAGAUAAGCACAACAGAAGUAGAGGGGAUCAGUGCAAAUCCAUCUGCUAGAAGAAACACUUUAAAUGCUGCUUCUUCUGAUAAUACUGCAGUCCCUUUGUCAGAAAUGUAUCCAGCAGCCAUUGUGAAACCGGCUACGAAAGUUACUGUUGCAGUGAGUGUUGCCGCUAUCUGUUGGGUUUCGUUGGCUUUCUUGAGUCCAUGCUCUCAAUUCUUUUCAUUCUCUCUGACCUAUCUUCUUGGACGAUCUUAUUUCAAUGACAUUGUUUACAUCCAGCGUUAAUCAAGUUUCUUCUUGUUCCUUCUGAUAGAUAAUUUCUUGCAACUUGCUUUGUUAAACUAGCUUCCACAAUGUCAGUUGUGGGCAAAACAAUGUCCAGAGCAGUCAAGUUAUCCUUAUUAGUAGCAUUCUUGUCAACAAGGGGAUGCUUUAACAGAGUUGUACAGUUAAGCCCAAGAGCAGCAAGCAGGUGGAGAGGUGUGUUCCCUUCUUCAUCUUUCUGAUUUAUGAGAUUGGACAUGAAUGGAUUUUGAAGAAGAGCAAGCAAUGCUUUAAAACUAUAGCAUGAAGGGGUUGUUCACAAGGUACUCAAGCAUGGUGUUUUCUUGAGAUGUGAGCCAACUGAGCAUAUGUAUCUCUCUUAUAUGAAAAUGCUAGAUUACCAUUAUGUUCCUGAAGAGAAUCCAGUCUUUCUGAAUGACAAGAUGUCAAAGAUUGAAAAAGAUGCGGUGGUAAGAUUCAUUGUUAUUGGAACAAAGUGGCUUGAUUCAGAAAGGGAGUUUCAGGCAUUGUUUAGUUUGUAGGGCGAUUAUCUUGGACCAGUGUCCUAGAGGCCUGCGUUCUACUUUCCUGGAGAUACAUGUAAAUCUUUGUAACUUCUACAGUUGAACUUAGCUUAAGUGGAGGCAUGUUUGCUAUUCUUUUUGGAGCAAUGAAUUUUCCUGGAUACCUUAGCUCCCAGUCGUAAACUGUAGUGAUCUGAUUUUAUGUAUGUUUAGAAAUUUCUGUACUGACUUCUGUUUGCUGAUGUUGAAAAAUCAUACAAUUCAAUAGCGGAUGGGAAUUCUUCA
This 1218-nucleotide unclassified non-coding RNA is filed under the name Hevea brasiliensis (rubber tree). The record is from RNAcentral. Lineage: Eukaryota; Viridiplantae; Streptophyta; Magnoliopsida; Malpighiales; Euphorbiaceae.